GAUUGACCUCGGAUCAGGUAGGGAUACCCGCUGAACUUAAGCAUAUCAAUAAGCGGAGGAAAAGAAACCAACAGGGAUUGCCUCAGUAACGGCGAGUGAAGCGGCAACAGCUCAAAUUUGAAAUCUGGGCCUCUUGGGCCCCGAGUUGUAAUUUGUAGAGGAUGUUUCGGGUGAGGUACCGUUCUAAGUUCCUUGGAACAGGGCGUCAUAGAGGGUGAGAAUCCCGUACGUGACCGGUGACCGAUCCCAUGUGAAACUCCUUCGACGAGUCGAGUUGUUUGGGAAUGCAGCUCAAAAUGGGUGGUAAAUUUCAUCUAAAGCUAAAUACUGGCCAGAGACCGAUAGCGCACAAGUAGAGUGAUCGAAAGAUGAAAAGCACUUUGGAAAGAGAGUUAAACAGUACGUGAAAUUGUUGAAAGGGAAGCGCUUGCAGCCAGACUCGCCCGGGGGUWAUCAMCCGUUCUUCGGAUCGGUGCACUUCCCCCCGGUCGGGCCAGCAUCGGUUCGGGCGGUCAGAUWAAGGUUCUGGGAAUGUAGCUCCUCUCGGGGAGUGNUAUAGCNCAGGACGUNAUGUGGNCAGCCUGGACCGAGGACCGCGNUNU
RNAcentral lists this ribosomal RNA (602 nucleotides) under Conotrema sp. 2-MW-2004. Its description in RNAcentral is "LSU rRNA". It matches the Rfam family "Eukaryotic large subunit ribosomal RNA", at positions 1 to 603 of the family's 3401-position model. Lineage: Eukaryota; Fungi; Ascomycota; Lecanoromycetes; Ostropales; Stictidaceae. The record is from RNAcentral.